UGGGGAAUUUUUGGCAAUGGGGGCAACCCUGACCAAGCAACGCCGCGUGGGUGAUGAAGUCUCUUGGGACGUAAAACCCUUUCGACGGGGAAGAAAACCGCAAGGUUUGACGGUACCCGUAGAAGAAGCCCCGGCUAACUCCGUGCCAGCAGCCGCGGUAAUACGGGGGGGGCAAGCGUUGUUCGGAAUUACUGGGCGUAAAGGGCGCGUAGGCGGCUCGUUAAGUCGGAUGUGAAAACUCUGGGCUCAACCCAGAGCCUGCAUCCGAAACUGGCGGGCUAGAGUUCUGGAGGGGGUAGCGGAAUUCCUGGUGUAGCGGUGAAAUGCGUAGAUAUCAGGAGGAACACCGGUGGCGAAGGCGGCUACCUGGACAGAAACUGACGCUGAGGCGCGAAAGCUAGGGGAGCAAACAG
This 413-nucleotide ribosomal RNA is filed under the name uncultured bacterium. RNAcentral's name for it is "bacterial SSU rRNA". It matches the Rfam family "Bacterial small subunit ribosomal RNA", at positions 355 to 775 of the family's 1533-position model. The record is from RNAcentral.